GAUGAAGAACGUAGCGAAAUGCGAUAAGUAAUGUGAAUUGCAGAAUUCCGUGAAUCAUCGAAUCUUUGAACGCACAUUGCGCCCCCUGGUAUUCCGGGGGGCAUGCCUGUCCGAGCGUCAUUGCAACCUUCAAGCGCGGCUUGUGUGUUGGGCCUCGUCCCCCGUGGACGGGUCUGAAAGGCAGUGGCGGCGCCCGAACCUGGUGCCUGAGCGUAUGGGAAUCUUUUUUCUGCUCAAUGUGGCCCAGCGGAUGCUGGUCUUGACCAGAGGAUCUUGCAUCCUCUCACCGGUUGACCUCGGAUCAGGUAGGGAUACCCGCUGAACUUAAGCAUAUCAAUAAGCGGAGGA
RNAcentral lists this unclassified non-coding RNA (348 nucleotides) under soil metagenome. RNAcentral describes it as "partial contains 5.8S ribosomal RNA, internal transcribed spacer 2, and large subunit ribosomal RNA". The stretch from base 1 to 120 matches the Rfam family "5.8S ribosomal RNA", at positions 35 to 154 of the family's 154-position model. The record is from RNAcentral.